Trichoplusia ni (cabbage looper) is the source of this 1327-nucleotide RNA transcript. RefSeq lists it as uncharacterized. The transcript has 3 exons. The record is from RefSeq and is a predicted model, not a curated record. NCBI's taxonomy places the organism in Eukaryota, Metazoa, Arthropoda, Insecta, Lepidoptera, Noctuidae.
GAAACGUAAUCAACAUAGACAAGAGCUUCUCUUAAGGAAAGAAAAAAAAAUAUGAUAACAAACAUGGCGGGCAUGAGAGCGUCAUUGCAUUUUGUUUAUUAGGUUACGUAGCCGUAAACUAUACGCCUUUGGAUUAUGUGGUCGCAUACAAAAGGACGGAGCCUCAAUGUCAACGUGCGGAAAAGGAGGUGCCGGGGCGAAGGCGCUCGGCGGUAGGCGAUUAGGCGGGUGAUAUGCAAGCGGGGCCGGCGCGCUACGUGUCAGUGAGCGAACUGUACUCAACAGACGAAGUGGAGCUGCUGCUUGACGAGAUAAGAGAAUUGGAGCCCACGAGCUGCCGCGGCGAAGACGUGCAGGUAUUUAACACUGCCACUGACGAGUAUAACAUAAACAUGUCCGGAUCGUCUUUACCCCUUCGGCUCGAAGUUCAGAAAAGAAUAAUUUCGAAUGAUACGUUUAAGUACGCUAAAAUAUAAGUCUUAAAUUUUAAAGGAAAUGGUAUUGUUCCGUGAUAUCAACCUUAAACAGUUGUAUUGUGAUUCUAUAGUAAUAAUAUUUUUUUGAGAUGCCAUUAUAAUUAUCAAGUAGGUACUUAGGAUAAACUAAGACCUGUAGGUAGAAAGACAUUGAAUACAAUUGACUAUGCAGUCUGUGGCUGGUUACUGGCUGAAAUAUUUACACCAAAAAUAUUUAGCCCAAUCUUAUAUGAAAUUCUCAAAGCAAUUAACAUUUGUGUAGUAAUGGUACCUACCUUAUUGGUAACACUUUACCAGUUGUAUAGAAAUAUCUACAUUCCAUUUGUUUUUGAACUUAAACAAGGACUUCGAGAUAGCGGGCAGCGGGUGCGGCGCGGGCGCGGGCGGGCGCUCGCCGGCCGGCACCGAGCUCACGGAGCGCAGCUGGGACUCGCACGCGCAGUACCGCCGCGCGCCGCCGCCUCGCCCGCGCCCGCUCGCGCCGCUCUACUGCCGUCUGCGCUACCUGCUCACGCCCACCGGCGCCGCUACCUUCUUGCUAGUGGUGAGUGCGCACUGUCGAGCCACAGUUGGCGAGCAGCACCGUGUGUUACACGACACAAUAUGAACCAUUUAGCCACUUUUUACCACCACAUAACUCAAAAACUAUUUCACAUAAACUUGUUAAACUUGGCUCAUAUAUUAAGACUUGUGUACUUCAAAUAUCAGAAACAUAUCAAAUGGUUAUUUUAAUAUUUUAUCACUGAAUGACCAAAAUUAUAACCCAGCUCCAGAUAAACUAAAAAGUUCAAAUUUGGCAUGCAGAUGGGUAAUUUGGUUAAUAUCAUCGGCCUAGCCUUUUCCCAACUAUG